GCCGAUUUAGUUUAGUGGUAAAACAAGACAAUGGUAAUGUCUAGAGAGCAGUUCGAUUCUGCUAUUCGGCACCA
RNAcentral lists this transfer RNA (74 nucleotides) under Mycoplasmoides fastidiosum. RNAcentral's name for it is "tRNA-Thr". It matches the Rfam family "tRNA". From Rfam's summary of the family: Transfer RNA (tRNA) molecules are approximately 80 nucleotides in length. Their secondary structure includes four short double-helical elements and three loops (D, anti-codon, and T loops). The record is from RNAcentral. Lineage: Bacteria; Bacillati; Mycoplasmatota; Mycoplasmoidales; Mycoplasmoidaceae.